CCACUGUGCCUGGCCUAAAGUGAUUAAUUCUUAAAUAUGAAAAGAUGGGCAAAAAUAAUUAGAUACUUGGGAAAGGUUAAAAACAACACAAACAAAAACCACAAGAAAAACAGAAUCCACAAGAAACAGAUAUACCACGGUAAAGCUUUUUAAAAGUUAAAAAAAAAUAUAUAAUCAAUAUACUCAGAGAAGUAGGAGAAAACACGAUAUUGGCAAUAUAAGAUCAGAAUGCUACAGAAAGGAACAAACAAAAAUGAAGAGCCCUUGUAAAUUAAAAAUCAGAUAGGUUAUAUUAAAAACACAAGAAAAUCUGGCAGAAAGUAGUGCAGAUAGGUAAGAUGAAAAAUAAACAAGAAAAAAGAUGCAGCAGAUCAACUCAAGAGAUUCAACAGGAGUUCCAGCAAAAAGAACACAGGUAUUUAUCAAAAUAAUGCAGUAAGAACAUCCAGAACUGAAGGCUACAAUUAUCAAGAUCAGGGCUGUCCAACAGAAAUACAAUGCAGACCAUUAUGUAAUUUUAAAUUUUCUAAUAGUUACAUUUAAAAAGUUGGUCAAAUACAUCUUAAUAAUGAAUUUAUUUUAACUUAAUGUUCCAAAUGUUAUUUCAACUGGUAAUUAAUAUAAAAAAUUAGAAAAGAUUUUAUACUUUUUCUUUUAAUGGGUAUUUUUACAUUUACAACCCAUCUUAAUUUUGACCAGAGACACUUCAAGUGCUGACGUGUGAUUAGUGGCUACAGUACUGGGCAGCGGAGGGACAGACUGAAAUUCUACAUUAGCUGUCUGGUUCCAUAGCUCUCUUUCAGUUCCAUGGAAUGUGACUAAAAAUAUGCUGAUUUCAAAGACUGAUGUGAAGAUUACGUGAGAGAAUUAGAGUGUUUUAGAGAGUCUCCCUAUGUUCACACCAGGCCGGCCUCAAACUCCUGAGCUCAACUGAUCUUCCCACCUCAGCCUCCCAAGUAGCUGGGACUACAGGUGUGUGCCAUUGCACUUGACUUAAAACAUUUAAAAUUUAUAAAAUAGAACCCUCAUGAUUAAAAACAAGCUUAUUUAAAAAUACUAGUCUACUAUUGUUAUUUGUUAAGGUAAAAAAAAACUUUAAGUAAGCCUUUUUACCAAACUCUUCAGCUAUAGCCUGGUAGGUUUU
This 1144-nucleotide long non-coding RNA is filed under the name Homo sapiens (human). RNAcentral's name for it is "HSALNT0403523". The record is from RNAcentral. Lineage: Eukaryota; Metazoa; Chordata; Mammalia; Primates; Hominidae.